RNAcentral lists this non-coding RNA (216 nucleotides) under chicken gut metagenome. The record is from RNAcentral.
AAUCCUGCCUAGUAAGGUAAACCCACACCACUAGUAACGAGUCUUGGAGCGAAACUGGUAACAGUUAGUUUAAGCGUAGACAGUUAGGUACUAGGGUUAGUAUUGAGCCUCGAAAUAUGUAAAAUCAGAGUGCAGAUGUAGUCGAAUAUGCAGAAUGCAAUAUUUAAUAUCGCGAUAUCGGGGAUGUAGUAUUAAAACUCUGCGGGGUCUAAGACC